RNAcentral lists this ribosomal RNA (876 nucleotides) under uncultured bacterium. Its description in RNAcentral is "bacterial SSU rRNA". It matches the Rfam family "Bacterial small subunit ribosomal RNA", at positions 56 to 933 of the family's 1533-position model. The record is from RNAcentral.
UGCAGUCGGACGGGAUUGAGGAGCUUGCUUCUCAUGAGAGUGGCGCACGGGUGCGUAACACGUAUGUAACCUACCUUGUUCAGGGGGAUAGCCUCUCGAAAGAGAGAUUAACACCGCAUAAAAUCAAUUUAUGGCAUCAUAGAAUGAUCAAAUAUUUAUAGGAACAAGAUGGGCAUGCGGAACAUUAGCUAGUUGGUAAGGUAACGGCUUACCAAGGCUACGAUGUUUAGGGGAUCUGAGAGGAUGACCCCCCACACUGGUACUGAGACACGGACCAGACUCCUACGGGAGGCAGCAGUAAGGAAUAUUGGUCAAUGGACGCAAGUCUGAACCAGCCAUGCCGCGUGCAGGAAGACGGCCCUACGGGUUGUAAACUGCUUUUGUACCGGAAUAAACCUUUUCACGUGUGAGAAGCUGAAUGUACGGUAAGAAUAAGGAUCGGCUAGCUCCGUGCCAGCAGCCGCGGUAAUACGGAGGAUCCAAGCGUUAUCCGGAUUUAUUGGGUUUAAAGGGUGCGUAGGUGGCCUAUUAAGUCAGGGGUGAAAGACGGUAGCUUAACUAUCGCAGUGCCUUUGAUACUGAUGGGCUUGAAUACACUUGAGGUAGGCGGAAUGUGACAAGUAGCGGUGAAAUGCAUAGAUAUGUCACAGAACACCAAUUGCGAAGGCAGCUUACUAAAGUGUUAUUGACACUGAGGCACGAAAGCGUGGGGAUCAAACAGGAUUAGAUACCCUGGUAGUCCACGCCCUAAACGAUGAAUACUCGAUGUUGGCGAUAUACGGUCAGCGUCUAAGCGAAAGCGUUAAGUAUUCCACCUGGGGAGUACGCCCGCAAGGGUGAAACUCAAAGGAAUUGACGGGGGCCCGCACAAGCGGA